AACAUACCAAGGAGUAAAGGACUAAUUGAGGAUGACUAGUCAUUCUAUAGAUUGGACGCUGAAUAGCGUAAUGAAGAUUAAUAUAUUCUUCGAUUCCAAAGGUGAAAACACCAAGAUGUCUCUGAAGUGUCCUUCGGGAUUCAAAGAUUCAUCAUAUUCAACCCUGUGAAUUGAAACAUCUUAGUAACAGGAGGAAAAAAAAUCAACCGAGAUUUUAACAAGUAGUGGCGAGCGAACGUAAAAUAAAAAAAAUCUGCGAGACCAAGUGGAAAGCAAGACCUUAAAAAGGUUAACGUCCUGAAAAUUGAAUAGAGAUUGAAAACUCUACCAUAGAAGGUGAAAGUCCUGUAAAUAUCAAGAUUGAAAGUGAAAACAAGAAAAUCGAGUCAGGAAAAUCAAGAGUAGAACGAUAUAAUUUGUUCAGAAGAAAGGGGAACCAUCCUCUAAAAAUAAAUAUGAUAGAAUGAACGAUAGUGAAGAGUACCGUGAGGGAAAGUUGAAAAGUACCUAAUGAGAAUCAUUUCCCGGAGAGCAGAACACGAAUGUGUUCACUCAUCGGAGAGAUUCUGAAAAGAGGGGUGAAAUAGAUCCUGAAUCAGUUAAGUCUAUUAAGCAGUUUGAGCCAAUUAAUGGUAAAAACGUACCUUUUGCAUAAUGGGUCAGCAAGUUAAUUUUUGGAGCAAGAAAACCAAAAGAGGUGAAAACCGAAGGUGAUCUAAGUGAAAACAAAAGAAGAAUCGAAAGAUUUUUCUGUUGAGUUCCAGAAAUUAGACCCGAAACCAAGUGAUCUAUCCAUGGCCAGGUGAAUCAAAAUCGAAUCUCUUCGAGCAUUUGCUCGGAGGAAGAACUCAAAGAGUUUUUGAUCUAGAAAUUGAAAAGACCGAACGGGUGAUCGUAGUAAUGCUCUCCGAUGAGCUAUGGAUAGCAGUGAAAAGCUAAUCGAACUUGGAAAUAGCUGGUAUACCGCGAAAACUAUUGAAGUAGAACGCUAAACUUCUGACAACAGGUGAAAUCUUUUAGAACACCUGGAGAGAAAGUCAGGGAAACACGAGGGUACAGCACUGGAAGAAAAUUCUAAACUGGAAAUAUCGGAAAAAGAAACGAAAAAGGUCGAAUCUUUGAUUCGGUUGCGGAGGACAUCUCCGAAGGAGGCCUUCGGGCCCCUGAGGUGCCCUACGGGAAAAAUGUCUGAAGAGAAUUCGUUCUUCUAAAUAGUUUAGUAGUCAGAUUAUCUGUGAUAAGGUAGUUAAUCAAAAGGGAAACAGCCCAGAUCAAUAGUUAAGGUCCCAAAUGAUUACUAAGUGAAAUUAACCGAAAACAAUUAUAAAACCUCUCUGUGAGCAUUAAGUGAACAGUAUUUUUACCGGCCCCCAUCUGUCAAUGUUGGGGAAAGAGAAAUCUUUGGGAAAAUGAGGAUAAAUGAUCAAAACAAUCAGGUUGUGGGCUUGGAAGCAGCCAUCAAUUAGAGAAAGCGUUACAGCUCAAUGAUCAAACCAGAAAUGGAGAGAUUUUGUUUAUCGGGAAAAUGUAUCGGGUCUAGAUCAUAAUGAUCGAACGAAGAGAAUAAUCUCAUUCGGAAAAGUAAUCAACCGAAACUUUGGCAAAAUAAAGAAACAAGAGAGAAAUCGAGCUAUGCUCAGUCUAUGACUUCUUGUUAUUAUUGGGUAGCGGUACAUUCAAUUGAUGGAGUGAAGGAAAAAUGUUAAUUUUUCUGGACUAAUUUGAAGAGAGAAUGCUGACAUGAGUAACUAAAAAGGAAAAAAAAAAUCCUUCCUCUAAAAUUCAAGGGUAAAAAAAUAAUCGGUUUCUAAGAGAAAAUCCAAACGGAUUUAUCGAUGAAAUGAAGAAUUUCCGGGCGUUCUCGAACGAGCCUUCGGGAUCUUCUUUAACCGUACCUUCCAACGCUGGAGAAUGAGCUGGUAAACAGUGAAGAGGAAUGGGAGAACCAUCUUGAAGGAACUAGGCAAAAUAACUCUGUAACUUCGGGAGAAGGAGGAGAAACAAAGAUUUCUAUAAAAAUAGAGAGGGGCAACUGUUUACUAAAAACACAGGAGUCAGCUUAGAGGUAACUCAUAGUAUUGGCUCUGAAGUCUGUCCGGUGCAAGUAAGUGAAAGAUGAAAGAAAGCAAUUUUUUUCUCAUAAUCUCUUGUAAACGACGGCCUUAACCAUAAGGGUCCUAAGGUAGCGAAAUUCCUAGACUAAUAAUUGUAGUCCUGCAUGAAUGGCGUAAUGAUCCCUCUACUUUCUACAAGAUGGACCCAGUGAAAUUGAAUUAUCCGUGCAGAUGCGGAUUACCAUUGGCUAGACGAGAAGACCCUUUGAAGCUUUACUGUAAUUAAAUUUCAUCUCAUUAAUGAACUGAAUGUAGAACUUAGUUUUCUUCUUCAUUCAUUGAUAAUAUGGAAAUUAUGUUCCUUAUAAGUUUAAGUGACAGUUUAACUGGGGAGGUUUCCUGCUAAAUAGUAACGAAGGAGUACAAAGGUAUAAUUGAAGUCACUCUGUAAUUGACUUGAAGAAAGAUUAUUUUCUUUCACCGAAUUUUGUUCGGUUUAAAUUGUAUAAUGGCAUAAAUAUGCUUGACUGUAAGACUAACAAGUCGAACAGGGAGGUAACUCGGUCAUAGUGAUCCCCAAAUUCUUGAUGGAAAGGUUUGGGCUCAACGGAUAAAAGCUACUCAAGGGAUAACAGGCUGAUCAUUCUUUAGAGUUCCUAUCGACGGAAUGGUUUGGCACCUCGAUGUCGGCUCAUCACAUCCUGGGGGUGUACAAGCUCCCAAGGGUUGGACUGUUCGUCCAUUAAAGUGGUACGUGAGCUGGGUUUAGAACGAUGUAAAUCAGUUCGGACUCUAUCUACCAAUGGAAAGAAGGAAGUAACAAGAAUAGAAUCCUAGUACGAAAGGAUUGGAUUGUGUGAACCUCUAGUGUACCUGUUGAACAAACUUGAUAUUUUGAUUUGUUCAUCACAGGGUAGCCACGUUCAUAAAAAAUAAGAGUUGAAAGCAUCUCAAACUCGAAGUUGAUCUUGAAACUUCUUAAUAAACACGCUAAAGAUUAUAGCGAAAUAGGUCAUAAGUGUUAAAAUUGUAAAAUUUGAGCUAAAUGAUACUAAUAGUUAAUAUCCUUGGUAUGUU
Molecule: ribosomal RNA, 3131 nt
Filed under: Blastocladiella emersonii
Lineage: Eukaryota; Fungi; Blastocladiomycota; Blastocladiomycetes; Blastocladiales; Blastocladiaceae
Description: large subunit ribosomal RNA
Rfam family: Bacterial large subunit ribosomal RNA
Source: RNAcentral